RNAcentral lists this ribosomal RNA (47 nucleotides) under Trichoderma harzianum. RNAcentral describes it as "partial 28S ribosomal RNA". Lineage: Eukaryota; Fungi; Ascomycota; Sordariomycetes; Hypocreales; Hypocreaceae. The record is from RNAcentral.
UGACCUCGGAUCAGGUAGGAAUACCCGCUGAACUUAAGCUUAUCAAU